This 1127-nucleotide long non-coding RNA is filed under the name Piliocolobus tephrosceles (Ugandan red Colobus). RNAcentral's name for it is "lncRNA (ENSPTEG00000028800.1)". Lineage: Eukaryota; Metazoa; Chordata; Mammalia; Primates; Cercopithecidae. The record is from RNAcentral.
UAUGCUCAUAGAAAUUACGAAAUUUGCAAAUUUUUUCGUUUUGAAAGAAAAGGGAAAAAUAUAUAGAAGUAUUCCCUGUAUACAUAUAUAUAUAUUUUUUUUUUUUUUUUAAAAGUUAAAAGUUAAAAGUUAAAAGUUAAAAGUUAAAAAUUAAAAAUUAAAAAUUAAAAAAACAGAAAAAUAAUAAAACAAAAAAUAAAACCCUUAUAUAGAUUUAUAAACAAAAGUGUAUUUAUUUUUACCCCAAAAUUACAACUCAUGAUGUCACAUAUAUAUGUGAUGUUAUGAAAAUGAAGAUAUUUAGUAUAUGUUUUAUUAUUAUAGCAACAUAACAAAAAUAAAACUGAUAUAUAGUUUUUGCUAAUUUUACAAAAACCAGCUUUUAAAUUUUACAAAUUCAUAUAUUUUACAAGUUAUAUAAAUGUAUAUAUAACUAUUUAACUUAACGUUUUUUUUUUUUUUUUUUUUUUUUUUUUUUUUUUUAUUUUUUGCAAUAUUGCAAAAUAACAUUUAAAAAUAAAGUAAAAAAAAAUUAUAUAUGACUGUUUGGAAAUAUUUACGCAUAUUCGUUUGUUUAUACACAUUUACAUAUGCUUCCUCAUGUUGAAAUUGUUUUUGUUAAUUACAAUUUUUUAUUUUUCAUUUUCCAUUUGUACAACAUAAGCAAAUAUAAAUGAAUAUAUAUAUAUAUAUAUAUAUAUAUAUAUAUAUAUAUAUAUAUAUAUAUAUAUAUAUAUGUUAUUUUUGUAUUAACGCUGAAUUAUUAAUAAAACAUAAUUUUUUAUUUAUACUAAUUAUUUUAUACAUAAUCUAUAAAUUAUCGUUAUAAAAAAAGAAAAUGUGAUUAUAACAUCACAUGUAUAGUUAUAUAUAUAUAUGCCUAUAAAAUGUUAUUAAAUAUAGAUUUAAGUUUUUUUUUAAAAAGUUGUCAAAAUAUGCAAACCAGAAUGCUACCAAUGUUGCUUAAUCCAAUUUAUUUAUUGCGACCUCGUAAAAAAACACAAAGAGUUGAUCGUUGCAAGACAAAAAAACAGUAUAAGAAUAGAAGACAUUUCAAAGGAUAUUAUUACAGAUGGAUGGGAUCUUAUUAAAAUAAAAAUUAAAAUGGAAACUUAGGAAAAAUGUGU